GGGUCCCACUGUCAGAUAUUCUCCCCCAAGCCCCGUCGGCCGCGCCCCAGGCGAAAUACACGCCGCCGCGCCGUCGCGCCCUCGGCCGGCCUCCAUCGGGCGCCUCCGUCGUGCGUGGCCCCGGCCUCUGUGUCGUCGUGGCUGCCGCAACCUCCCCACCGGACACUCCAUCCACACCGACGCCUCCCUCGACCCUCACCGCCGCCGUAUUUGUUGGUCGCUGCCCUCACCCAGUAGGUCGAGCCGGCGGCGUCGACGACUCCGAGCUCCACAACAGCGUCUCUGUGCUGCCCGCCGCCAGUUAACGCGCUCGGCUGCUGCUCCCGGCGCCGCGUGCUCCCGGCGCCUCCGUGCUCUCGUGUUAGCUGUUGCUCGGCCUCCGUGAUCCCGGUGCCGCAUCGGCAAGAAUGCCGUGCUGUUCAGGAGGAAGCUGUGCUGUUUGGGAAGAAGCAGCAGCAGCACGACGAGAAGAAGCCGGAGCUGUUGGAGCUCGAUUUGCCCCCCACGGCCGUCCCCUCCUUCGAUUACAACUUCACUGCAACUGAAAAUUAGUUAAAGGUCGCCGUCGAGUCCAUGUGCGACAAUGCUUGUUGCAGACGGUUGCAGAGGAGUGCAAACGGUGAGCGGAGGCAUGACACAAAGGAGUGUCCGCUUCCAAAAUGUGGAAGCUGAGGUAAAUUUCCUGCUCCUUUUUCGAAUGGAUCAUAUGCUCGAGGCUUUGCUGUUUAUUAUGCUAUUGUAGUUUUGAAUACUGGUUAGAUUUAAUGGUUUGCUAUUCUGAUGCAUGAAUUACUUGUUUGGGAGUAGAUCAUCUGAUGGUGGCAAAUCGGUUUGGGAUUAGUUAUUUUUCUUUCUCAAAUUCUUGAUGUUGAGUAAAUGAUCAUGAUUCAAAUACUUGGAUCUGACAUAGACGAUGAGAUCUAUAUCUUAGAUGUCACUCAUUUGGUUCAUGAUUGUUCAAUAACUGUAGUACUAGCAUGCAGCUCUAUGCUUGUAACAGAUCACUUUCUUUCUUGUCAUUAUGAGAUUGGAUGAUGCUUCUAUAUUUUGAUGAUCCCGUUUAGAUGGCUGUGAUGGGAGCCUUAUCUAACCUAACUUGCAUAGUUGUUAAAUGUUUAGCUGUUGGCAAUCCCAUGAGGUCAAUACUACCAAUUUUAGGAUAUGAUACAAUUUUUUGGCAUUUUUUUCCAUGUACAAGAUAGGAGAGACUUUUGGCAUGAUUUUUAACCAAGGUGAUAUUAAUUCAGUAAUUUUCAAGGACGCGGAAGGAUGCUACCAAUUUCAUGGUUUUGAUUCUUAUGUCUAUAGAUGUCAAUUAUGAUUUUUUUUUUGGUUCUACCUGGUUCCUAUCUAGAGUUUGACUGCAGAGAAUAAAUAAGGGAAAAAAAGAGAAGUCAGUAGUUUUGAAAGGGGUAUCACUGCUGUCAGUGACGGGAUACCAUGGCUGGCAUACGGGAAGCUGUUUCAGCAGAUUCCAAAUUUGGCAUUAGAAUAAUUCCUGGAGUUGAAAUGAGUGUAAUCCAAGGUAAGUGCCUUCUAGCUUUCAGCGAAAAGACCUUUCAAUCUCAACAACUAUACCAUGCUACUAAAACGACGACAUCACAUCUUAUCGUUGCAUACUCUCGUCAAUGGUCUGCAGUAUUGUUUAAUGUUGCAUUGCCGUCUAAUAAAAUACCACUGUAAACAGCAUUUAAGCAAUUUUACUAUGACUAUUGAUGUUUCAUAUGAUGAUUCAUCAUAUUAUGAAUUUUAUUGUCUAUAAGGGAAGGUGCCGGUGAGCCUGUUCAUAUCCUUGCAUACUAUGGUGCAUGCGGUCCAUCAAGGUCUGAUGAGUUGUACAGCAUGGUAUUGAACAUUAGAGAUGGGAGAUACGUGCAAAAAAUAUGCUGACAAAGCUAAAUACACUCAAGGUGCCAGUAAAGUGGGAGCGUGUAACUAAAAUUGCUGGUGGAGUGGCACCUGGUCGAGUGCAUGUAGCAAGGUCUAUGGUUAUGUAGAGCGAAUGUAAAGUUGGACCUUGGUGAUGGUGGCUCCGCAUAUGCUAGGAUAACGCUGCAUAUACCGGACGAGUGAGAACGAGUCGCUGGGGCUGCUUCUGAUCCCCAGCAUAUGCCGGAGGAUCAAGCACUCGACCGGGCGACCAUGACCAGAAUGUUGCUGGCGGUCGCGAACAAAUGUAAAGAAUUCAAAGUGCUACUGAAUACCACCGAGAGGGAAGGUACUUGAUACAUGAAUUCUGGUCCAAUUGCAUGUCGCAUGUGUCCAUGCUACUAGGGUUACAAGAUUGUUCUGCAAACUUAUUCACCUACUGGUCUAUUCCGAGCUGAUUAGCAUCUACACUAUCUUUUGGAGGGAAAUAACCGUAGAUUCAAGUGCUACUAUUUCUAGAUGAAUGGAUGAGUUGUUUUUUUGUUGUUGAAGAUGAAUACACAGAUCUGCAAGUACGACCAUUAUCAGUUGUACAUUCUAAUCUAAUAAACCUAAUAAACCCAGUUAUCUUUGUAGUAUUUUCACCUUUUUUUCUGUGAAAAAUUGGAGCCACAACUAUUAUAGCUAUAGCGAAAUCUUGUUCUGUCCUGUGGGAGUUGAGUUAUAUGCACUACGAGGUAACAUAGUUUUUUUUUUUGGCCAAUCAUCUCAUUUAUUUUGCAAUUUAUGGAGCACUAACUUUUCAAACUUGGUGUGCAGGUCUACGCAUCCUUUGUGGUGGAACCUACCCACUCGGGUUCAAAUCCUCGACUUGGCACGGGUGCUCGCAUUUUUCUAAAUUUAUUCUAGAAUUUUCCAGCGUUAUGCGUUAAGUGGUAAGCGACGUUCCCGUCGACAACAAGACGCCAAUGGUGACUUCGGGAAUCUUCAGAUCUGCCGGUCCAGUUUUUCGGAGGUGCUCAUAGGGGUAGAGUUUGCGUACGUGUGUUCAUAGGGGUGAGUGUGCGUGCGUGUUGUUAGCGUCUGUGUUGUACUGUACAAAAAAAAUACUCUGUGAACACUGUUCCCGCCAAGUACCACAGUUUGCGCA
Molecule: long non-coding RNA, 3019 nt
Organism: Panicum virgatum (switchgrass)
Lineage: Eukaryota; Viridiplantae; Streptophyta; Magnoliopsida; Poales; Poaceae
Exons: 3
Source: RefSeq, a predicted model, not a curated record